This is a long non-coding RNA of Sinocyclocheilus rhinocerous, 129 nucleotides long. RefSeq lists it as uncharacterized. The transcript is spliced from 3 exons. The record is from RefSeq and is a predicted model, not a curated record. NCBI's taxonomy places the organism in Eukaryota, Metazoa, Chordata, Actinopteri, Cypriniformes, Cyprinidae.
AUUAAGCUUCCUCUGGUACUGAUGGCCAUCAGGGCCACCCCUCACCGGUCUACCGGAGUACCCCCGUUCGAAAUGAUGACGGGGCGACAAAUGACACUACCGCUACACCUGCUAGGAUAUCAGGCCGAA